UAAUAAGGAUACAAAUGUAAAAGUACAUAUUUUCACCUUUUUAAGUUGAAAAAAACAAACAACUUAAUACUUAUUUUCCGAGAUUCAAACGAAAAAACAAACAUAUUAUUCAGAUUCAGACAUUCAGAUCUAUUUAGAAUUCAGACUAAUUUAUGUCUAUUCAGAUUUCAGACAAAAAAACAAACGUCACCAAAGAGUUUAAUGCACUUAUUAAUCAUCUACUCCUUUACUGUACUAGCCUAUUUACUUAUUUUAUGAGGUUUUGACUUAAUUAUUUUCACUAAUUUUUUUCUCCCAUUCGCGUUUCUUUACAUGUAAGAAUUUUAUUUAAUUUAUGGCAACAAAGAACUAAGUAUUUUACUUUCUUAAGUUUUUUUAAACUUUACUAAAAAAUUAAUGGAGAUCCAAGCUUAGCCCAAGCAUGUAUAGGUCUGACCAAUUCACAUUUAGAUGGGCUUUUAAAGGGCUUUGGUUUAUUAACAAUAAUAUAAGCUUGGGUCAGGCUUUUCCCUCAAAUAGCCAACUUAUGUGUUGGUAGGCAGUAAAAAUGGGUUGUCGUAUUGUGAUAAAUUUAGAUGAAUUCAAACAUAAAUCAUUUAAUAAUCGUAUUUAUUUGGGGAAUAAAUAAAGGAAUUAAAAUAAAGUGCUACGUUUGAUAAAGGGAUUUUAAUGGCUGAGAGUUAACCUGGUGGGGUACCCGACCUGCACUGAGGAUACUCUCCAGAUGACCUAAUACGUGGGGUACACCAUGACAAAAUCAAGGAAUUAAAGAAAAUAUCCAAAAAAUGGUCAUGACACUGCUGUCUUUAUCACCUGAUAGGAAUAUUUGAUUUGAUUAAUCAAAUCAAAUAUAUUAUGUCAGGAAAAGAGAGACAAGUGGUUGUAAUAAUAGUAAAAAUUAGAAACAACCUACAAGGGACAGUGGUCCUUAGCUACCACGCCCAUUAUUGUACAGACAGCCUCUGCAAAAGAAAUCUUGGACCAUUUACAGCAUACGCCACGUGCACUAAACGACAGCGCCGACCAAAAAACCACAUUUUUGCUCUCUAAGCAUGUUCCUAACGGUUAGAAAACCGUUAUAUUGGUAAAAAGACGUGAGAGUUUCAGAAAAGAUAAAAGAAUCAUCAUUAAAAAUAUGCCACAUGGCAAGGUACCUAGACUGUACAAUAUAAAAGCCAAAAAAGGUUUGAUCUCACACACACUCUAAGACUCAUCACAAACGCACACACAAAACCAAAGGGCUGAGGUCUUCUUCAAUCUUCAGCCAUUAUUUUUCAGAGAGCUUAUAAGCUCUCAUCCCAAAAAAAAGGUUCAAGUAGCUGAUUUGAGCAUUGGAGUGUAGUUGCGGGCCACCGCCGGAUCCACUUCUAACCUUAUUUCUUUGUUUUGCAAGUUUAAAAGUACCCUUUCAAAGUUCCCACAUUCCAAAUCUGACUUCUCACCAUCUUCUACUCUUUGUCAUCUCCUUUAAAGCCCAAAACAACCCUUACACCACAGUUAAGUGAGGUACCCUGAUCCCCAAAAAAUAAAUUCAUUGUUUUGGUGAAGUUUUGUCUCAUUUCCUUGUAAUCCAAAAUCUACUUAAAGCAGUGUCAAAAAGUUAAAACCUAAAUUUGCGUUGGUAAGUUAAUAAUAUGAUAAUCUUGUCACAGAACACAAUAAGACCACUAAUCCUCUCAAUACACAUUUAAAACAGUUGACAUUAUAUAUCAUCUACACAUUAACACAAAGUGCACUCACGUAUAUAUCUAAACAAUAUUGUGAUAUAAUAUACAUACAUUAAUAGAGACAAAAUACAUUCAUACUUAAACAAUAUUUUAUAGUUUGGUCCACUUUUGAAACUUAUUUAGUUUUUAUCUCAAAUUUUGCAUCAACAAUUAUUACUUGCUAUGUAUAAUGUGUUGGUUGACUUUAUUAUCUAUUUAAUAAUAUGGUAAUUCUACAUCAUCUAUUAGUGAAUGACAAGUUAAAUGUCAUACCAUUUAAUGUGUAGACUAAGUUCCUAACCUUAUAAGUACAACAUUGCUUGUUUAUCAUCUAUCAGUGAAGGAUAUACUAAAUGUCAUAUCAUUUACAAAAUGUAAGUCAGCAUUACUUAUUUAUCAUCAUUUAUCAGUGAUGUGUAGAUUAAGUGUCCUCCUUUCCUUUCUCUUAUUCUCUUUUCCCCUCUUCUUUCUCCUCAUUUCUUCUUUCUUGCAACCAAACAUGGUUUCGGUGGUGUUUGGUGGAAGGAGAUGAAGGAGAAUAGGAAAGUAUUUUGAAUUCCUUUCUUGUUUUUGAUGUUUGGUUAACCAUAAUUUAUAAGAAUUUAAUUUCCAUUAGAAUUUAAUAUACAACUUAAGAGUGAUGAAUUCAAAAUCCUCUUCUAUUGGAAGCCAAAACAUCCAAAAUUACCUCUUCAGUCUUUGCUAUCAAAUUAUUAUUAUUUACAAUUUGAUUUUAUCAAUUUAAUUUUACAGAUAACGAAUUUUAUAUUAACAAAAGUUAAAGAAAUGAUCUAAACAAUUUAAAAAAUUACUUUUAUUAAUUAAUUAAUUUACAAAAAUAGAAAAUAUAGAUUUAAGUCAUUAAAAAGUCGUCGUUGUCCCCACUAGUGAGUGGGACGUCAAUGCUAGUACUGUUGGACUCACUGGUUGAUGAACAAUGUUUUUCUUCAAAUCCGGUUAAAAAGUUUAAAAACUUUCUAAUUUUUCUAUAUUCGGACAAACAUCAAGUAUUUCGCCAAAUAAAUUUCUUUAAUCUAUAAAUCAUUAAUUU
RNAcentral lists this long non-coding RNA (2757 nucleotides) under Citrus x clementina. RNAcentral's name for it is "Citrus clementina (C. clementina) long non-coding RNA (CCLE_LNC005305)". The record is from RNAcentral. Lineage: Eukaryota; Viridiplantae; Streptophyta; Magnoliopsida; Sapindales; Rutaceae.